This 1285-nucleotide long non-coding RNA is filed under the name Cricetulus griseus (Chinese hamster). RNAcentral's name for it is "lncRNA (ENSCGRG00015033199.1)". Lineage: Eukaryota; Metazoa; Chordata; Mammalia; Rodentia; Cricetidae. The record is from RNAcentral.
GGUGUGGCCUCCUGGGCCAGGACUGCCUGGCUCUCUGUUGAGAGAAGGAGGGAACUGGACUUAAGGAUGCCUCUGCUGCCUGUCCUGGUCCACAGAGUUCCAGGGCCACAGUGCUCUGUCCCCGAAGACAGCAGGAGGAAGGGAUCACAGUGGAGAGCUAUCACCCUGACACCACGAGGGAUUGAGGUAACGGGUACUCCAAACGAGCCAAUCUCAGAGUCAGGGCAAAUAAGAGCAGAGUCUUCGAAGACUAGGACUGAAUAAAUCUCCCACCCCGAGAGAAUCAGCACCCUGAGACAAGGCAAUCGGUUCCAAAGCAUCUCCAAAGCACCACCUGGAGCAAAGAUUUCAGCCCAUGAACCUUAGGAUAUAUAUAUUCCAACAUUCACCUACAGCAGUGGUCUUGGUCUUAUUAAUCAGGAAUGUUCUCCAGAGACCCUGCUGGAGGCUGGCAUGUCGGCUACAAGCCUGUCUUCAGCAGCAGGGGACUGAUUUCUCUGCAGAAAGCUUGCAGAAGCCCUACUCUGCAAAUGCGUCAGCCGCCAUUCCAUGAUCCUGCCUUGGGAGGUCUGUGAGGGCCCAGCCCACUUCCCACCGGAAGUUCUGAAGUUCUGGAUCAGGGUGCUGGUAGGGUUGGGCCUCUUGAGGGCUGAGAGAGAAUGUUGUGGCAUAUGCUAGCAAGAUGGCUCAGUGACUAAGGCUUGCCACUAAUCCUGACAAUUGAAGUUAGAUCCCUGGGACUCACAUGGUAAAAUGACAGAAUGCCAGGUGUGUCAUGGCAUACAUACUCACACACAUGCACUCACAUACACACAUGCAAAUAAAUGUGAAAAAAAUGUUAAAGAUGCCUUUAGCUCCUGGGCUUGGUAGUUGUGAUGACUAUUCUUGGUUGUCAGCUUAACUACAUCUGGAAUUAACUAAAACCCCCAAAUAGAGGGAACACCCAUGAGGAAUUUCUGCUUAACUUGAAGUGAGAAGAUCUACUUCUAGUCUGGAUCUUUAAAGUAAAAAGACACAACUUUAAUCCAGAUCUUUAAUCUAGAUCUAAUCUGGGCCAUGACUUCUUCUGGAAACCUGUAUAAAAACGUGGAAGAAGGAAGCUUUUGUUCUUUGCCUGCUUGCCCUUGCCUGGCUAACAAGUCCAUUCCUUCACUGGCAUUACAGCUUACUUCUUCAGGAUUCCAGCAUCUACUGAAGACCAGCUGAGACAUCCGGUCUUGUGGACUUAGAAUCAUCUGGAAUUUUCGACUUUCUGUUCAUAGCCCACCAUUGUUGGUCUAGGUGG